UUCUCUUGACCGCUGUCUCUCCUCAUACUCUCUCUGCUUUCUUUAAUUGAUUCAGUAAUGCGCUUUUCAUUGUCCCCAUCGUUCGUUUGCUUUACUUCUCUCUGUACCAUUUUCAACUUCCUCAAGCACUUCUCUUCUUCUCUAGAGCCCAAAUCAGCAAUAUCAGAAAUAUGCAGUUUAAGCUCCUCAUCGCUUCCUGAAAGCUUAAAAACAACCCGACCAUCAUCUAACCUCUUUGAAAUUCUACCCUUUAACCCCAAAAUACCUCUUCCACCAGCAAUAACUCUGACAACUUUACCAACAAAGAAACCAUCACUAGGUUCAUUUCUGUCUCUUUCUCUUUUCCUCUCCUUUUGCCUGUCUCUAUCCUUAACACUAGUACUUGCAGCAUUAGAAGCAGGAGGAACAAAACCCAACCCUUCUUUAUCAGUUCUCUUGUGGUAUUGCUUGACUUUGACAUCUUCCUUAGCAUUUCUUCCGAUACCUCUGCCUUCAUGCCAACCAUAGCCAGCCAGCAAAGCCGCACCAAAACCUUCCACAGGCACAUCCUUGAACUCCUCAAAUCCUCGAUCCUCCGGCAACCGCUGGAGAUCGUACUUCAACUUCUCCAGCAACAAAUUCUCAGUAGUUUCUGCUGUCUGAUGAGCUUUGGUUCCUUCGACACCAGCGUCGAAACUGCUUUGCUGUCGGAUAUUGAGGCCGUAGGACAUACUCUUAUCGUCGUCGCCGUGGCCAUCGGUGGCGACCUCGAAGCGAAGGCCUUCAGAGUCGGACUGGAGAGUGGGAAGGAGGUUGAGGUU
Molecule: unclassified non-coding RNA, 800 nt
Filed under: Hevea brasiliensis (rubber tree)
Lineage: Eukaryota; Viridiplantae; Streptophyta; Magnoliopsida; Malpighiales; Euphorbiaceae
Source: RNAcentral